This 813-nucleotide ribosomal RNA is filed under the name Bombus wilmattae. RNAcentral describes it as "eukaryotic LSU rRNA". It matches the Rfam family "Eukaryotic large subunit ribosomal RNA", at positions 402 to 939 of the family's 3401-position model. Lineage: Eukaryota; Metazoa; Arthropoda; Insecta; Hymenoptera; Apidae. The record is from RNAcentral.
AAACCGUUCAGGGGUAAACCUGAGAAACCCAAAAGAUUGAAUGGGGAGAUUCAUCGUCGACGGCGCCGGUUCCCGUUGAUGAGCGAUGCUCCGGGUGGGCCUUCGGGAGCUCCACUAGCGAGGGCACGCCAUCCUCGGUGUCGAACGCACCGGUGUCGUAGUCGUGCACUUCUCCCCUAGUAGAACGUCGCGACCCGUUGUGUGUCGGUCUACGGCCCGAGCGGGCGCCUGUCGCGUCGCUUCGGCGCACGCGGCAGACCCUCGGUCGCCCGGCCGACCGCACGACGGUACACGCACGGUAUCGGGCCGCAACCAAUCCAUUCUCGAAUGUGUGUGCGUCUAGACCGCCGCAAGCUUCGCCCUUACUCCGUAGUCUCGGACUUUGUUUCCGUGCUCGGGUAUGGGCAGCUGUUAGCAGCGCGGAUAUCUUGGACUGGCCGAGUCUCGAAUUACCGGUCGGCGACGCUAUUGCUUUGGGUACUCUCAGGACCCGUCUUGAAACACGGACCAAGGAGUCUAACAUGUGCGCGAGUCAUUGGGACAUUGAAACCUAAAGGCGAAAUGAAAGUGAAAAUCGGCGUUCGCGUCGAUGGAGGGAGGAUGGGCCGCGCAACUAUGCGGCCUCGCACUCCCGGGGCGUCUCGUUCUCAUUGCGAGGAGAGGCGCACCUAGAGCGUACACGUUGGGACCCGAAAGAUGGUGAACUAUGCCUGGUCAGGACGAAGUCAGGGGAAACCCUGAUGGAGGUCCGUAGCGAUUCUGACGUGCAAAUCGAUCGUCGGAACUGGGUAUAGGGGCGAAAGACUAAUCGAA